Molecule: ribosomal RNA, 119 nt
Filed under: Clostridium sp. A254.MGS-251
Lineage: Bacteria; Bacillati; Bacillota; Clostridia; Eubacteriales; Clostridiaceae
Source: RNAcentral
UCUGGUGGCGAUGCGCUUGUGGGAGACACCCGUUCCCAUACCGAACACGAUGGUUAAGACGCAAGCGGCCGAUGGUACUGCACUGGAGACGGUGUGGGAGAGUAGGUGGCCGCCAGAUU